Molecule: transfer RNA, 95 nt
Filed under: Candidatus Bathyarchaeota archaeon
Lineage: Archaea; Thermoproteati; Candidatus Bathyarchaeota
Description: tRNA-Leu
Rfam family: tRNA
About the family: Transfer RNA (tRNA) molecules are approximately 80 nucleotides in length. Their secondary structure includes four short double-helical elements and three loops (D, anti-codon, and T loops).
Source: RNAcentral
GCGGGGGUCGCCGAGUCAGGUCAAAGGCGCAGAAGAGCGUAGGCUUCAGGAGCCUGUCCCGAAGGGGUUCGUGGGUUCAAAUCCCACCCCCCGCA